GAGUUUGAUCUUGGCUCAGAUUGAACGCUGGCGGCAUGCCUUACACAUGCAAGUCGAACGGCAGCACGGGAGCUUGCUCCUGGUGGCGAGUGGCGAACGGGUGAGUAAUGCAUCGGAACGUAUCCUGGAGUGGGGGAUAACGUAGCGAAAGUUACGCUAAUACCGCAUAUCCUGUGAGCAGGAAAGCGGGGGACCUUCGGGCCUCGCGCUCUUGGAGCGGCCGAUGUCGGAUUAGCUAGUUGGUGAGGUAAAGGCUCACCAAGGCGACGAUCCGUAGCAGGUCUGAGAGGAUGAUCUGCCACACUGGAACUGAGACACGGUCCAGACUCCUACGGGAGGCAGCAGUGGGGAAUUUUGGACAAUGGGGGCAACCCUGAUCCAGCCAUGCCGCGUGAGUGAAGAAGGCCUCGG
RNAcentral lists this ribosomal RNA (411 nucleotides) under bacterium enrichment culture clone ALO1_GLFRUDD03FXSZG. RNAcentral describes it as "bacterial SSU rRNA". It matches the Rfam family "Bacterial small subunit ribosomal RNA", at positions 9 to 420 of the family's 1533-position model. The record is from RNAcentral.